Molecule: ribosomal RNA, 800 nt
Filed under: uncultured Bacteroidota bacterium
Lineage: Bacteria; Pseudomonadati; Bacteroidota
Description: bacterial SSU rRNA
Rfam family: Bacterial small subunit ribosomal RNA
Source: RNAcentral
UGCAAGUCGAACGGUAACAGGGGUAGCAAUAUCUGCUGACGAGUGGCGCACGGGUGAGUAACGCGUACACAACCUGCCUUAUACUGGAGCAUAGCCUCGGGAAACUGAGAUUAAUUCUCCAUAACAUUGCGAAACGGCAUCGUUUUGCAAUUAAAAUUCCGAUGGUAUAAGAUGGGUGUGCGUCUGAUUAGCUAGUUGGCGGGGUAACGGCCCACCAAGGCAACGAUCAGUAGCUGGUCUGAGAGGAUGAUCAGCCACACGGGCACUGAGACACGGGCCCGACUCCUACGGGAGGCAGCAGUAGGGAAUAUUGGACAAUGGGCGCAAGCCUGAUCCAGCCAUCCCGCGUGAAGGAUUAAGGUCCUAUGGAUUGUAAACUUCUUUUCUCUGGGAAUAAAAAGUGGGGUUUACCCUGCCUUGAAGGUACCAGAGGAAUAAGCACCGGCUAACUCCGUGCCAGCAGCCGCGGUAAUACGGAGGGUGCAAGCGUUAUCCGGAUUCACUGGGUUUAAAGGGUGCGUAGGUGGCUUUGUAAGUCAGUGGUGAAAGCCCGGAGCUUAACUCCGGAACUGCCAUUGAUACUGCUUAGCUUGAAUCAGGUCGAGGUGGAUGGAAUAAUACAUGUAGCGGUGAAAUGCUUAGAUAUGUAUUAGAACACCGAUUGCGAAGGCAGUUCACCAGGCCUGUAUUGACACUGAGGCACGAAAGCGUGGGGAUCAAACAGGAUUAGAUACCCUGGUAGUCCACGCCCUAAACGAUGUAAACUCGACAUUAGCGAUAUACAGUUAGUGUCCAAGCGA